Molecule: ribosomal RNA, 974 nt
Filed under: Perkinsus marinus
Lineage: Eukaryota; Perkinsozoa; Perkinsida; Perkinsidae
Description: LSU rRNA
Rfam family: Eukaryotic large subunit ribosomal RNA
Source: RNAcentral
UAAGUAAGCGGAGGAAAAGAAACUAACUAGGAUUCCCUUAGUAAUGGCGAAUGAACAGGGAUCAGCUCAGUGCCAAAUCGGAAUCACUUGUGGUUCUGAAAUGUGGCUUGAAGGCAGUACCAGUGGCAUCGCGGACGAAAGUCUCUUGGAAAAGAGCGUCAUAGAGGGUGAGAAUCCCGUGAGUCGUUCGCCGUUUGUCACGUACGGUCUGCGUUCUAACGAGUCGCGUUCCUUGGGAUUGGAGCGUAAACGGGUGGUAAAUUUCAUCCAAAGCAAAAUAUAUACUCGAGACCGAUAGCACAAAAGUACCGUGAGGGAAAGGUGAAAAGAACUUUGAGAAGAGGGUUAAAUAGUGCCUGAAAUCGUUGAGAAGGAAGCGGAUGCCGCCGUUGCAUAUGCUGAUUGUAGGAUUGCUGCUCGCUCCUGUCUUCUGCUACUCAUUCACAGACCUGGUCGUGUUGAGCAGUUGUUUGGCAGAUGUUAGUGGUGUUUCCUACUCUCAGUCGUCAGCAUCACUGGCUGAGUGGAAAUAAUCCUUGGAUGCUAAUUGGUUCGCUAUCUGUGAAUUGGUUGCUUCCUUGCGAUACUCACUACUCGGUCAGUGAGGAAGUGCGUUUGCUGGUCAACGAGCUUUCUAACUGUCAUUACCCUGCGCUUUUCGAUUCGUCGAGUGGCCAGGAUGUGGCUUUGAGAUUGUUCGCACUUAGUAAUCGCGAUGCUGGCUUCCAACGGUUGCCUCCGGCCCGUCUUGAAACACGGACCAAGGAGUCUAACGUAUGUGCGAGUGUGUGAGUGGCAAACUUAUACGCGUAAUGAAAGUGAGGCCGUAUGGCCAUGUUGGGGUCACCAACAACCGACCUUGAUCUUCGGUGAAAGGUUUGAGUAUGAGCAUAUCCGUUAGGACCCGAAAGAUGGUGAACUAUGCCUGAGCAGGGUGAAGCCAGGGGAAACUCUGGUGGAGGCUCGUAGCGAUA